Molecule: long non-coding RNA, 739 nt
Organism: Drosophila montana
Lineage: Eukaryota; Metazoa; Arthropoda; Insecta; Diptera; Drosophilidae
Exons: 2
Source: RefSeq, a predicted model, not a curated record
UCAUAAAGUUUUGUUCUUCCUCAGAAAGUUGGUAGCUCGCCUUCGCGCGGCGCUUUCAUCAACUUCUUGGGGAGGCACAAGUCAUUAUCCCUUUCUGUGUUCAGCUUCUGCUUAUUAUCCUGCGUCAACGACAGCUCAUCAUCAUGCGCUCGAUUAUGCCAGAACCCUGAUCCCAGCACGGACAGCUUCAGGCUCCCUCUACUCUGAACCAAACACAGUCCCGGGACUACUCGGGUCACGAGCGAUAGAAGAAACCAACCCAAGCCACAUAACUUUUAGAUAUUCGCCGUUUGCGUAAAAUAUUCAUGUGCAUUGCUAAGUGGCCCGCGAAAGGUAACUCCACGUGGACCUGGAACGGAAUUUGGCUGGCUCCCCGGCGAUUAUAUUGCCGCUUUGUGGCUGAAAUAUUCAUAAAAUGCUUAAUUAAUUGAUUAAUGGCCUCAAAGUCAAAAGUUUUGCCAAAAAGCUAUCGCAAGCCAAUGGACUUCAAUUGGUAACCCGACACGAGCAGCGAGGCCUCGCCCGGUCCGCCCCUGUGGUCAUAUAACAAAGAUCGCUGCGUUGAUAAACUUGAACGCCCCGGGGGCACGGCCACAUGGACGCACUGCAGCACACAACGGCAAGAAUAAUAAUAAUAAUAACAAUAAUAACAACAACAAUAGAGAAACGCACGUGUUAACAAGGAUGCGAUAAAAAAAAUAAAGCGUUGUGAGGAAAUAAACGCUAGAAUGACAGGAAA